AAAAAAUAGGUCUCAGUUCGGAUUGCAGGCUGCAACCCGCCUGCAUGAAGUUGGAAUUGCUAGUAAAUCGCGGAUCAGCAUGCCGCGGUGAAUACGUUCCCUGACCUUGUACACACCGCCCGUCACACCAUGGGAGCCGGUAAUACCCGAAGUCAGUAGCCUAACCGCAAGGGGGGCGCUGCCGAAGGUAGGAUUGGCGACUGGGGUGAAGUCGUAACAAGGUAGC
RNAcentral lists this ribosomal RNA (226 nucleotides) under uncultured bacterium. Its description in RNAcentral is "partial 16S ribosomal RNA". It matches the Rfam family "Bacterial small subunit ribosomal RNA", at positions 1276 to 1500 of the family's 1533-position model. The record is from RNAcentral.